ACGGUCAGCCGUCAGCCACCUACCUCCACCAUCGGCUCCAUCCACAACUAACUGGCUCUGAGUUUUUUUUCACUCAACCAUCUGUACGUACGUGGUUACGUUGUUUAUUCGGAGAUGGAAUUCUAGCUCACGGUUUAAAAAUAGCAGACGUGCACGGUGCUUGAGGAUUUUUUUAAAAAUCGUCAAUGACACCUCCCUCCAUCUUCGAAUAAACGGCCACAUAUUUAUAGUCAAGAGCUAGUUGUGGAUCAGUUAGUCUCCUAUGUAUGUACAUAGUUAGAGACUACGAACAAGAUUUUUGCAUGUUUUUAUUUUUAUAUAUUUUAUUUUUUAAAUAUAGCACUGAUAUGAUUUUAUUUUCUUUGAUGAUCAUAUAUAUAUAUAUAUAUAUAGAUGGGAAAGAGAAGGUGGCUAAAGAGAUAAUAGAAGCUAUUGACGAAGAAAAGAAGUCGGUGAGGUUCAAGGUGGUUGAAGGAGAUCUGAUGGAGUUAUACAAGACGUUUUCCCUCACCUGCCACGUGGAUACUCAUGGUGAGAACAAUUUGGUGACGUGGACGUUGGAAUAUGAGAAGCUGAAUGAUCAGAAUGUGGAGGACCCUCAUACCUUGAUGGAGUUUUGUCUCCAUGUCACCAAAGAUAUUGAAACUCACCAUCUCAAGUGAUUCUAAAUGAUAUGAUGAUGCAGCCAUUGCAGCUAUCUAGCGUGUGUUUAUUUCCUCAAAAUAAAAUUAAUUGCAUGCUUCUUUUCGGUCUAUCUAUUCUACUCUAUAUAUAAGUAAUAAAUAAACUUAUAAUGGCUGUAACUAAACUGUAUGCAUGUGGCUAUUUACUUAUUAUGUGAUUGCUGUUCUGUUUACAGAAAUAUAUAUUCCGACUUAUUUUGAUGGAGUUUCUACCUUUUGAGAGUGCAUAUAUAGCGAUUUAAAUUGCCAAGUAGUAUGUUUAAGACUAUAUAUAUAUAUAUAUAUAUAUAUACGAGGAAUGAUCCAUAUCAUUUAUUUAUUAUGAUCAAAAAUAGCCAAAUAGCAUCCUAACCUUCCGUCCCAAAUAACAACAGAUGUGAUUUAAAAACUGGACCAUGCGUCCGCUGAUUAUUCUAGCAAAACUGAUUAAAACAUGAUUUUGGAAGAUUAUGCCCAUGCCAAAGCAUACGAACCGAAAAAGAUAUCGAGUGGAUGGGUCAUUGGUUCAACCAGUGUUCGAACCGUUAUUGACUCAGUGAUGUCAUUAAUAUAUAAAAUAUAUAUUUUUACUAAUUAAUUAUUAUUAUUUUUAAAUCUCAUUUUUAUGAAUUAAAACACAAUAAAAUUGAGAUUACAACAUUAUUAAAAGUAGUUAAUUUUAAUAUUUAAAUCUUUUUGUUAAAAUUGGGUCACAGGAUUAAUAACCGAUUUUAUCAAUUAAACCAUCAGUUCGACCCAUAGAUCAACUAAAUUUUGACUAAAAUUAAUUUUUUUUAUUUAAACCGAAUUAAAAUAUCAACUGAUUAUAAUUUUUACCAAUCGAAUCAACGGUCAGAUUCAAUUUUUAGAACCAUGGUGAACAUAAUAUAUAUAUUAGACAAAAGUAUUGCGACGACAUGAAUCAUGUGAUAGUAGGUGACCCCUUUUCAUUGGCUUGCAAUUAAUUUAUUAAUCAUUCAUUCCGCAUAAAAACAAAAACUUUAAAAACAUUCGUAAACUAAACAAAUAAAAAAAAUUGUUUCAAUAAAAAUGAGUAGGUGGUAGUUGGAGUAUCAUUUAAUUUAUUGCAUCGGUUUUUUGAAAUUCUAAAACUAUUGGCAAUAUUUUACAUCGAUCUUAUCUUUGCUUGCCAAGUUGCCAUUAUAUAUUAGUAUCGUUACUCCAUUAUUUUUAUACACGAUGGUUAUGUGAAAAGAAUAAAUCUACUAUAACAUAAAAUCAGUCAUAUAUCGUUUAUAUACAUUUAUAUGUAUAUUUUGAUGGUCUACGUAACUUGUUCUGCACGUGGAGCAUCAAAAUAUACAUGUGAAUAUAUGUAAGCGGUAUAUGACUCGUUUUAUGUGAUAAUAAACUUACUGGAGUGAAAAUGCAUGUAUAUACUCCAUGAUUACAUUUUUUUAAAUGAAAUUAAAAUAAAAGUCUAAAUUCUGUGAGAAUACUUAUUUAUCGGUAAGAACUGACUGGCUAGAUAACCGAAACAAGAACCCUAGUUAGGGUUAGUAAUGGAGUCGGUCAGAUUUCCAAGGUUGAAAAAGAAUUUCACGUUGACGAUUAUCUUAUUUAUUUUAGAAAAAUGAAAUACCUUUUUUUUUUUUUUUGUUGAGAUCUUAAUAUUUAAAAUAAAACUACCCCCAAAAUUUGUAUUAUCCCUGACUUAAUUUUAGGGGACGUAAUUAGAAAUUUAUUUAUUUAUUGAAAUCAUAAUUGCCGAAAUUUUAGUGAGACGUAUAUGUAAUUUAAAUGUUAAUCGGUGAUGUCCUUGUGACUCCGUGCCAUGGCUUGUAUGCAAUACUAAAUAACACCGGGUCAAAAACCUUGGGUCUUGGCCCAAAUAGCGAAGGGGUAAGUUGAGUUACAUAAUUAUUCGUCCAUUCAUAAUCAUCAUCAUCAUCAUCAUCCUGAUCUUAAUUCAGUUAAUUUUGAUCAAUUGACAAUAUCGACACACAGACAGAAUGUGAUUUCUCUGCGUGAAAAUGAUUGCAAAAUAUAUCAAAUUGAUUAUAUGUAUAAGUAUGACAACGGUGGACAAAAUAGACUUUUGAAUUACUUUUUUUUUUUUAUCAUUGUUUUAUAUAAAUUUUACUUAUGAUUUUAGUACAAAAAUAAUUUUCUUUUUUUCGUUGUUUUAUUUUUAAAUGACAGUCAAUACCUUUCGAGUGUGCACUAAGUAAUUCGUGACCCAUAAACACCACUAUAUAGUUGCAAGUCUUGCAUAGUUGCAUUGAAUAUCCAUGUCUUGAUCUUCUUAGUAAUGGAAGGUCUUGCGAAAAGCAGUAGAACAAGAUCUUAUAGUAAUGUACUGCUAACUCUGAAGAAAUUAAAAAUAAAAGGAAAAACGAGUUUUAUGUAGGAAAUAAUUGAAAUUUUACCGAAUCACAAUACAAAUAAUUGAAAUGGUAAUACAUAAGGAUAUUAUGAUAUUAAUUACAAUUAAUAUCACAAUAUCCUUAUGUGGGAAAAAUUAGUUUGACAAAAGAGAGAAGGUAGAAAUGACUUGCUAGGAGUAUCAUUUAUGGCAUCCUAUCCGUCUAUUGCCGGAUCUGGAAAGCUGGACUCCAUGCUACCCAGAUAAUUUUAAAAUCUGAUUCAAUGUGUCAAAAAAUUACUAUGUACUUAACUUGCCCAAAUGUCGUAUUUUUUAUUCUAGUUAAAUCCUAAUCGAAAGAACUUUCUUUCUUCUUUUUUUUUUAUAAUAAAAUUAUAUUACACAUUAUGUCCCAAGUUCCCGUGAUAAUAAGACUGUAAAAUAAGUAAACAGUUCGGGUUCGAUUUGUACUCGCUCGACUCGAAAUAUAAAUGAGUCAAAUAUGAACAAAUUCUAAAGAUUGAUAAAUAACUCAAACCUGCUCAAAUUGUAAUUUUCUAUUGAUAUUCGGAUCAUAUUCUUUCGAAAAGUUUAAAUUGCUCAGACUCGAUUAGGAAUCGUGCUCGACUCGGUAGCUAAAUGAGUCUCAAUCAAUCCUUAUUUUAUACUCGAUAUAUUUUAUGAAUCAAAGUUUAGCAACUCAAUACUGGACUUAACUCAGUUCAUUUACACCAUUUCGUGAUAGUGUCUUGAUCAAUCAUUUAAUGUCAUUAUUUUCGUACACCUUGGUGGGACUAUAUCAAUAAGUGGACACGGACAGAUCCACCCUUGGGCCAGAUGCCAUAGAUGGAUUUUCAAGAAAUUUUUUGUACUAUAUAUUUAUGAUGUUUUAAUAUAAAUAUAUAAAAAAAAGUUACUCAUGAGAGUUUUGACAUUCGACUUAAUGAAUUCAUUUAGAAUAUGUGUUAUUUAAAUGAAUUUCUCUUAAUUAUAAGAAAUAAAAAACUUUUAAGCAUCUCAAUUGUAUCUUUAAUUGUUGUUGAUGGUAGGCGGCGUCCGGAUAGAAUAACAAUAUUGUAAUAUACAUCCAUUCCAUUCUAACACUCCAUAAUUAACAAACCACGUUUGAUUAAAAGCUAUACUCUCUCCGUUCUAAAUUAUGAAAUUAAUAUUAUUUUUACAAUUCAAUUUGUGACAUUUUCUUAUUUAAAAUUGACAUGAUUCGUUUAAAUUUUAAUAACAAUAAAUUUUAUAAUUAACCAAUAGUAUUUUUUAUAUAAUUUAUAAUAUUUUUAAUUGUAUUGAUAUAAGCUACAUAAAUUUAUCAACUUUAAAUUUAAAAAUGUUUAAAAUUGAUUUUUAAAAAUUUAAUCGUGAUCUUAUAAUUUAAAACGCAUGAAAUAUAUUGUUUUAAAAAUGAAAAUAUAUAUAGGUGAUGAGAAGGGCAUGCAUGUGAUCAUGUCAUAUAUAGUGAUCCGGUCAAAUGUCGCAUUCACUUAAUAUAUAGUGAUCCGGUCCCAGUUGAUUAUAUGGAUAUCUGCUACGUACGUACAUUACUAUAAAUAGCGCAUUGGGCAGGCAUAUUACUCAGUGUAGUGAUCACUUGAUAAUUUAAUACUAGCUAGUAUUAUUAUUGUUGUUAUUGUUAAUAAGAUGAGCAUUACUGAUUUAAGUGGGAAGCUUGUAAGCCAAAUAGAGAUCAAGUCUGAUGGAGAUGUGUUCCAUGAGAUCUUUAGAUACAGGCCACACAAUAUCUCCGAAAUGAGCCCUGGUAAAAUCCAGGGGGUUGAUUUGCAUGACGGUGAUUGGGGAACUGUAGGCUCUGUCAUCUUCUGGAACUACACUCACGGUCAGCCACCUAGCUCCACCAUCGGCUCCAUCCACAACUAACUGGCUCUUGAUUUUUUUUCACUCAGCCACCUGUACGUGGUUGUUUAUUCGGAGAUGGAAUUCUAGCUCACGAUUUAAAAAUAUCAGUCGUGCACGGUGUUUGAGGAUUUUUUUUUAAAAUCGUCUGUGACACCUAGCUCCAUCUUCGAAUAAACGGCCAAAUAUUUAUAGUCAGAGCUAGUUGUAGAUCAGUUAGUCUCCUAUGUAUGUACAUAUAGUUAGAGACUACGAAGACGAUUUUUGCAUGUUUUUAUUUUUUAAAUAUAACACUGAUAUGAUUUUAUUUUCUUUGAUGAUCAUAUCAUGUAUACAUAUAUAGAUGGGAAAGAGAAGGUGGCUAAAGAGAUAAUACAAGCUAUUGACGAAGAAAAGAAGUCGGUGAGGUACAAGGUGGUUGAAGGAGAUCUGAUGGAGCUAUACAAGACGUUUUCAUUCACCUGCCACGUGGAUACGCAUGGUGAGAACAAUUUGGUGACGUGGACGUUGGAAUAUGAGAAGCU
This 5378-nucleotide long non-coding RNA is filed under the name Panax ginseng (ginseng). RNAcentral describes it as "long non-coding RNA (PGIN_LNC013186)". Lineage: Eukaryota; Viridiplantae; Streptophyta; Magnoliopsida; Apiales; Araliaceae. The record is from RNAcentral.